RNAcentral lists this ribosomal RNA (1200 nucleotides) under uncultured bacterium. RNAcentral's name for it is "bacterial SSU rRNA". It matches the Rfam family "Bacterial small subunit ribosomal RNA", at positions 202 to 1384 of the family's 1533-position model. The record is from RNAcentral.
GAAAGCAGGGGAUCUUCGGACCUUGCACUAUUGGAUGAGCCUAAGUCGGAUUAGCUUGUUGGUGAGGUAAAGGCUCACCAAGGCGACGAUCCGUAGCUGGUUUGAGAGGACGAUCAGCCACACUGGGACUGAGACACGGCCCAGACCCCUACGGGAGGCAGCAGUGGGGAAUAUUGGACAAUGGGGGCAACCCUGAUCCAGCAAUGCCGCGUGUGUGAAGAAGGCCUGCGGGUUGUAAAGCACUUUCAGUAGAGAAGAAAAGCCUACGGUUAAUAACCGUGAGUCUUGACGUUACCUACAGAAGAAGCUCCGGCUAACUCCGUGCCAGCACGCCGCGGUAAUACGGAGGGAGCGAGCGUUAAUCGGAAUUACUGGGCGUAAAGCGCGCGUAAGCGGCUUUGUAAGUCGGAUGUGAAAGCCCUGGGCUCAACCUGGGAAUGGCAUUCGAAACUGCACAGCUAGAGUAUGGUAGAGGGAAGUGGAAUUUCCGGUGUAGCGGUGAAAUGCGUAGAUAUCGGAAGGAACACCGGUGGCGAAGGCGACUUCCUGGGCCAAUACUGACGCUGAGGCGCGAAAGCGUGGGUAGCAAAACAGGAUUAGAUACUUGGUAGUCCACGCCGUAAACGAUGAGAACUAGAUGUCGGGGGAAUUUGUCCUUCGGUGUCGCAGCUAACGCGUUAAGUUCUCCGCCUGGGGAGUACGCCGGCAACGGUAAAACUCAAAGGAAUUGACGGGGACCCGCACAAGCGGUGGAGCAUGUGGUUUAAUUCGAUGCAACGCGAAGAACCUUACCUGCCCUUGACAUUGACAGAAUCCCGUAGAGAUAUGGGAGUGCUUCGGCCUGGAAAACAGGUGCUGCAUGGCUGUCGUCAGCUCGUGUCGUGAGAUGUUGGGUUAAGUCCCGCAACGAGCGCAACCCUUGUCCUUAGUUGCCAGCACGUAAUGGUGGGAACUCUAGGGAGACUGCCGGUGAUAAACCGGAGGAAGGUGGGGACGACGUCAAGUCAUCAUGGCCCUUACGCCUGGGGCUACACACGUGCUACAAUGGUCGGUACAAUGGGCUGCAAUGCCGCGAGGUGGAGCCAAUCCCAAAAAGCCGGCCUCAGUUCGGAUUGGAGUCUGCAACUCGACUCCAUGAAGUUGGAAUCGCUAGUAAUCGCGUAUCAGCUACGACGCGGUGAAUACGUUCCCGGGCCUUGU